RNAcentral lists this ribosomal RNA (501 nucleotides) under uncultured bacterium. RNAcentral's name for it is "partial 16S ribosomal RNA". It matches the Rfam family "Bacterial small subunit ribosomal RNA", at positions 30 to 523 of the family's 1533-position model. The record is from RNAcentral.
AUUGAACGCUGGCGGCAUGCCUUACACAUGCAAGUCGAACGGCAGCACGGGUGCUUGCACCUGGUGGCGAGUGGCGAACGGGUGAGUAAUACAUCGGAACGUACCUUAUCGUGGGGGAUAACGCAGCGAAAGCUGUGCUAAUACCGCAUACGCCCUGAGGGGGAAAGCGGGGGAUCGCAAGACCUCGCGCGAUUAGAGCGGCCGAUGCCUGAUUAGCUUGUUGGUGGGGUAAAAGCCCACCAAGGCGACGAUCAGUAGCUGGUCUGAGAGGACGGUCAGCCACACUGGGACUGAGACACGGCCCAGACUCCUACGGGAGGCAGCAGUGGGGAAUUUUGGACAAUGGGGGCAACCCUGAUCCAGCAAUGUCGCGUGAGUGAAGAAGGCCUUCGGGUUGUAAAACUCUUUUGUCAGGGAAGAAACAGCAGCUCUAACACAGUCUGCGAAUGACGGUACCUGAAGAAUAAGCACCGGCUAACUACGUGCCAGCCGCCGCGGUAA